RNAcentral lists this ribosomal RNA (504 nucleotides) under Pichia kudriavzevii. Its description in RNAcentral is "eukaryotic LSU rRNA". The stretch from base 137 to 289 matches the Rfam family "5.8S ribosomal RNA". The record is from RNAcentral. Lineage: Eukaryota; Fungi; Ascomycota; Pichiomycetes; Pichiales; Pichiaceae.
CUUCCGUAGGUGAACCUGCGGAAGGAUCAUUACUGUGAUUUACUACUACACUGCGUGAGCGGAACGAAAACAACAACACCUAAAAUGUGGAAUAUAGCAUAUAGUCGACAAGAGAAAUCUACGAAAAAACAAACAAAACUUUCAACAACGGAUCUCUUGGUUCUCGCAUCGAUGAAGAGCGCAGCGAAAUGCGAUACCUAGUGUGAAUUGCAGCCAUCGUGAAUCAUCGAGUUCUUGAACGCACAUUGCGCCCCUCGGCAUUCCGGGGGGCAUGCCUGUUUGAGCGUCGUUUCCAUCUUGCGCGUGCGCAGAGUUGGGGGAGCGGAGCGGACGACGUGUAAAGAGCGUCGGAGCUGCGACUCGCCUGAAAGGGAGCGAAGCUGGCCGAGCGAACUAGACUUUUUUUCAGGGACGCUUGGCGGCCGAGAGCGAGUGUUGCGAGACAACAAAAAGCUCGACCUCAAAUCAGGUAGGAAUACCCGCUGAACUUAAGCAUAUCAAUAA